This 885-nucleotide ribosomal RNA is filed under the name uncultured bacterium. RNAcentral's name for it is "bacterial SSU rRNA". It matches the Rfam family "Bacterial small subunit ribosomal RNA", at positions 335 to 1238 of the family's 1533-position model. The record is from RNAcentral.
ACUCCUACGGGAGGCAGCAGUGGGGAAUAUUGCACAAUGGAGGAAACUCUGAUGCAGCAACACCGCGUGGAGGAUGACACAUUUCGGUGCGUAAACUCCUUUUAUAUGGGAAGAUAAUGACGGUACCAUAUGAAUAAGCACCGGCUAACUCCGUGCCAGCAGCCGCGGUAAUACGGAGGGUGCAAGCGUUACUCGGAAUCACUGGGCGUAAAGCGCGCGCAGGCGGCUAUUUAAGUUGGAUGUGAAAGCCUACGGCUCAACCGUAGAACUGCAUCCAAAACUAUUUAGCUAGAGUGUGGGAGAGGAAGAUGGAAUUAGUUGUGUAGGGGUAAAAUCCGUAGAGAUAACUAGGAAUACCAAAAGCGAAGGCAAUCUUCUGGAACACUACUGACGCUGAGGCGCGAAGGCGUGGGGAGCAAACAGGAUUAGAUACCCUGGUAGUCCACGCAGUAAACGAUGAAUGUUAGUCGUCGGGUAGCUAGUCUAUUCGGUGAUGCAGCUAACGCAUUAAACAUUCCGCCUGGGGAGUACGGUCGCAAGAUUAAAACUCAAAGGAAUAGACGGGGACCCGCACAAGUGGUGGAGCAUGUGGUUUAAUUCGAAGAUACGCGAAGAACCUUACCUAGCCUUGACACAUAUUAGAACUCAGUAGAGAUACAGAGGUGCCUUCGGGAGCUUUUAUACAGGUGCUGCACGGCUGUCGUCAGCUCGUGUCGUGAGAUGUUGGGUUAAGUCCCGCNACGAGCGCAACCCUCGUCACUAGUUACUAACGGUUCGGCCGAGGACUCUAGUGANACUGCCUUCGUAAGGAGGAGGAAGGUGAGGACGACGUCNANUCAUCAUGGCCCUUACGGCUANGGCAACACACGUGCUACAAUGGCCAGG